Molecule: long non-coding RNA, 650 nt
Filed under: Triticum aestivum (bread wheat)
Lineage: Eukaryota; Viridiplantae; Streptophyta; Magnoliopsida; Poales; Poaceae
Description: long non-coding RNA (TAES_LNC010756)
Source: RNAcentral
GGCCUUUUCACCAGAGGACUUCCCCUUCGCAUCGUCAUGAUCGGUACUCUUACCGGUGCUCAGUGGGGAAUCUAUGACGCCUUCAAGGUCAUGGUGGGACUGUAAGUAUCUCAUCCUCUAUGCAAAUUCAUCUGGUAAACAACUUCUGAGGAAGUAGUAACAAUUGGUAAUCCAUUUUCUUCCAGCCCGACCACCGGCGGUGCUCCACCAGUUGCUCCGGUAGAGGAAGCAGCGAAAGCCAUCGCUUGAUUGAUUUUUCCUACUAUGACGAUGACGAUGUAUUCCGGGAUGAUGGGGUAUUGGUGGAUGGGGACUGUAUCAAUUACUUGAGUUUAGCACCCGAAAUCUUUUGUUAUUGUAGCAGAUGGUUAUUGUGUCAUCAUUUUGAUGAGAGGAACUCAUUAAGCAGGCGAAAUAGGCCUUUUUUUGUCCCCGGGAAGUUUGAUGCUUGACAUAAUAAGUUUUAGGACAGCAAGGCUGUUAGAGCGCAGGUUUUGCCAUCACCUGUACUGAGGAAUUCCCAUAUUAUACUCCUGUUUACCUCCAAUUCUAUGCUGUUGAUAUCGUGGCAUGUUCGUUUCUGAACGGGUAGAACGUUUAUUGUUUUACUAGUAGUAGUAGUUAUCUUCUCUUCGUGCUUGCAAAAUCAU